Molecule: ribosomal RNA, 440 nt
Filed under: uncultured bacterium
Lineage: Bacteria
Description: partial 16S ribosomal RNA
Rfam family: Bacterial small subunit ribosomal RNA
Source: RNAcentral
CCUACGGGUGGCAGCAGUGGGGAAUAUUGCACAAUGGGGGAAACCCUGAUGCAGCGACGCCGCGUGAGUGAAGAAGGAUUUCGGUAUGUAAAGCUCUAUCAGCAGGGAAGAAAAUGACGGUACCUGAUUAAGAAGCACCGGCUAACUACGUGCCAGCAGCCGCGGUAAUGCGUAGGGGGCAGGCGUUAUCCGGAUUUACGGGGUGUAAAGGGAGCGUAGACGGCAGCACAAGUCUGGAGGGAAAUGCCGGGGCUUAACCCCGGAACUGCGUUGGAAACUGGGCAGCUAGAGUGCAGCAGAGGUAAGUGGAAUGCCUAGUGUAGCGGUGAAAUGCAUAGAUAUCAGGCGGAACACCAGUGGCGAAGGCGGCUUACUGUACCGUAACUGACGCUGAGGCUCGAAAGCGUGGGGAGCAAACAGGAUUAGAUACCCUUGUAGUC